CUAACCAGGAUUCCCCUAGUAACGGCGAGUGAAGCGGGAAGAGCUCAAAUUUGUAAUCUGGCGGUCUCUGGCCGUCCGAGUUGUAGUCUGGAGAAGUGUUUUCCGUGCCGGACCGUGUACAAGUCCCUUGGAACAGGGCGUCAUAGAGGGUGAGAAUCCCGUCUUUGACACGGACUGCCGGUGCUCUGUGAUGCGCUCUCGAAGAGUCGAGUUGUUUGGGAAUGCAGCUCAAAACGGGUGGUAAAUUCCAUCUAAAGCUAAAUAUGGGCGAAAGACCGAUAGCGAACAAGUACCGUGAGGGAAAGAUGAAAAGCACUUUGGAAAGAGAGUUAAACAGUACGUGAAAUUGUUGAAAGGGAAACUUGAAGUCAGUCGCGUCUCUCGGGACUCAGCCUUGCAUCGCAAGGCGCAUUUCCCGGGACGACGGGCCAGCAUCGAUUUCAGUCGCUGGAGAAAGGUCUGGGGAAUGUGGCACCUAUCGGGUGUGUUAUAGCCCUGGGUCGUAUGCAGCGAUGGGGAUCGAGGAUCGCAGCACGCCUGUAAUGGACGGGGUUCGCCCACGCAACGUGCUUAGGAUGCUGGCGUAAUGGCUUUAAGCGACCCGUCUU
Molecule: ribosomal RNA, 608 nt
Filed under: Clavariadelphus pistillaris
Lineage: Eukaryota; Fungi; Basidiomycota; Agaricomycetes; Gomphales; Clavariadelphaceae
Description: eukaryotic LSU rRNA
Rfam family: Eukaryotic large subunit ribosomal RNA
Source: RNAcentral